GAACGCUGGCGGCAGGCCUAACACAUGCAAGUCGAGCGGUAGCACAGAGAGCUUGCUCUCGGGUGACGAGCGGCGGACGGGUGAGUAAUGUCUGGGAAACUGCCUGAUGGAGGGGGAUAACUACUGGAAACGGUAGCUAAUACCGCAUAAUGUCGCAAGACCAAAGUGGGGGACCUUCGGGCCUCAUGCCAUCAGAUGUGCCCAGAUGGGAUUAGCUAGUAGGUGGGGUAACGGCUCACCUAGGCGACGAUCCCUAGCUGGUCUGAGAGGAUGACCAGCCACACUGGAACUGAGACACGGUCCAGACUCCUACGGGAGGCAGCAGUGGGGAAUAUUGCACAAUGGGCGCAAGCCUGAUGCAGCCAUGCCGCGUGUGUGAAGAAGGCCUUCGGGUUGUAAAGCACUUUCAGCGGGGAGGAAGGCGUUAAGGUUAAUAACCUUGGCGAUUGACGUUACCCGCAGAAGAAGCACCGGCUAACUCCGUGCCAGCAGCCGCGGUAAUACGGAGGGUGCAAGCGUUAAUCGGAAUUACUGGGCGUAAAGCGCACGCAGGCGGUCUGUCAAGUCGGAUGUGAAAUCCCCGGGCUCAACCUGGGAACUGCAUUCGAAACUGGCAGGCUAGAGUCUUGUAGAGGGGGGUAGAAUUCCAGGUGUAGCGGUAAAAUGCGUAGAGAUCUGGAGGAAUACCGGUGGCGAAGGCGGCCCCCUGGACAAAGACUGACGCUCGGGUGCGAAAGCGUGGGGAGCAAACAGGAUUAGAUACCCUGGUAGUCCACGCCGUAAACGAUGUCGAUUUGGAGGUUGUGCCCUUGAGGCGUGGCUUCCGGAGCUAACGCGUUAAAUCGACCGCCUGGGGAGUACGGCCGCAAGGUUAAAACUCAAAUGAAUUGACGGGGGCCCGCACAAGCGGUGGAGCAUGUGGUUUAAUUCGAUGCAACGCGAAGAACCUUACCUGGUCUUGACAUCCACAGAACUUUCCAGAGAUGGAUUGGUGCCUUCGGGAACUGUGAGACAGGUGCUGCAUGGCUGUCGUCAGCUCGUGUUGUGAAAUGUUGGGUUAAGUCCCGCAACGAGCGCAACCCUUAUCCUUUGUUGCCAGCGGUUCGGCCGGGAACUCAAAGGAGACUGCCAGUGAUAAACUGGAGGAAGGUGGGGAUGACGUCAAGUCAUCAUGGCCCUUACGACCAGGGCUACACACGUGCUACAAUGGCAUAUACAAAGAGAAGCGACCUCGCGAGAGCAAGCGGACCUCAUAAAGUAUGUCGUAGUCCGGAUUGGAGUCUGCAACUCGACUCCAUGAAGUCGGAAUCGCUAGUAAUCGUAGAUCAGAAUGCUACGGUGAAUACGUUCCCGGGCCUUGUACACACCGCCCGUCACACCAUGGGAGUGGGUUGCAAAAGAAGUAGGUAGCUUAACCUUCGGGAGGGCGCUUACCACUUUGUGAUUCAUGACUGGGGUGA
This 1460-nucleotide ribosomal RNA is filed under the name uncultured organism. Its description in RNAcentral is "SSU rRNA". It matches the Rfam family "Bacterial small subunit ribosomal RNA". The record is from RNAcentral.